AAUAGAUACCCGGGUAGUCCACGCCGUAAGCGAUGGAUACUAGCUGUUUGAGCGCAAGUUUGAGUGGCUAAGCGAAAGUGAUAAGUAUCCCACCUGGGGAGUACGGGCGCAAGCCUGAAACUCAAAGGAAUUGACGGGGGCCCGCACAAGCGGUGGAGCAUGUGGUUUAAUUCGAUGAUACGCGAGGAACCUUACCAGGGCUUAAAUGUAGAUUGACGUAUUUGGAAACAGAUAUUUCUUCGGACAAUUUACAAGGUGCUGCAUGGUUGUCGUCAGCUCGUGCCGUGAGGUGUCAGGUUAAGUCCUAUAACGAGCGCAACCCCUGUUGUUAGUUGCCAGCGAGUAAUGUCGGGAACUCUAGCAAGACUGCCAGUGUAAACUGUGAGGAAGGUGGGGAUGACGUCAAAUCAUCACGGCCCUUACGUCCUGGGCCACACACGUGCUACAAUGGCCGGUACAGAGAGCAGCCACUUAGCGAUAAGGAGCGAAUCUAUAAAGCCGGUCACAGUUCGGA
Molecule: ribosomal RNA, 514 nt
Filed under: uncultured bacterium
Lineage: Bacteria
Description: bacterial SSU rRNA
Rfam family: Bacterial small subunit ribosomal RNA
Source: RNAcentral